Molecule: ribosomal RNA, 468 nt
Filed under: uncultured bacterium
Lineage: Bacteria
Description: partial 16S ribosomal RNA
Rfam family: Bacterial small subunit ribosomal RNA
Source: RNAcentral
GACGAACGCUGGCGGCGUGCUUAACACAUGCAAGUCGAACGGAAAGGCCCUGCUUGUGUGGGGUGCUCGAGUGGCGAACGGGUGAGUAACACGUGAGUAACCUGCCCUUGACUUUGGGAUAACUUCAGGAAACUGGGGCUAAUACCGGAUAGGAGCUCCUGCUGCAUGGGGGGGGUUGGAAAGUUUCGGCGGUUGGGGAUGGACUCGCGGCUUAUCAGCUUGUUGGUGGGGUAGUGGCUUACCAAGGCUUUGACGGGUAGCCGGCCUGAGAGGGUGACCGGCCACAUUGGGACUGAGAUACGGCCCAGACUCCUACGGGAGGCAGCAGUGGGGAAUAUUGCACAAUGGGCGGCAGCCUGAUGCGGCAACGCCGCGUGCUGGAUGACGGCCUUCGGGUUGUAAACCGCUUUCGCCUGUGACGAAGCGUGAGUGACGGUAAUGGGUAAAGAAGCACCGGCUAACUACGUG